CCAGACUCCUACGGGAGGCAGCAGUGGGGAAUAUUGCACAAUGGGCGAAAGCCUGAUGCAGCAACGCCGCGUGAAGGAAGAAGGGUUUCGGCUCGUAAACUUCUAUCAACAGGGACGAAAGAAAUGACGGUACCUGAAUAAGAAGCCCCGGCUAACUACGUGCCAGCAGCCGCGGGAAUACGUAGGGGGCAAGCGUUAUCCGGAAUUACUGGGUGUAAAGGGUGAGUAGGCGGCAUGGUAAGCCAGAUGUGAAAGCCUCGGGCUUAACCCGAGGAUUGCAUUUGGAACUAUCAAGCUAGAGUACAGGAGAGGAAAGCGGAAUUCCUAGUGUAGCGGUGAAAUGCGUAGAUAUUAGGAGGAACACCAGUGGCGAAGGCGGCUUGCUGGACAGUAACUGACGUUGAGGCUCGAAAGCGUGGGGAGCAAACAGGAUUAGAUACCCUAGUA
This 447-nucleotide ribosomal RNA is filed under the name uncultured bacterium. RNAcentral's name for it is "bacterial SSU rRNA". It matches the Rfam family "Bacterial small subunit ribosomal RNA", at positions 331 to 792 of the family's 1533-position model. The record is from RNAcentral.